UCAAGUGCCAGAAGGGCAUUUGGUGGAUGCCUAGGCGCACACAGGCGAUGAAGGACGUGCUACGCUGCGAUAAGCUACGGGGAGCUGCGAAUAAGCUUUGAUCCGUAGAUGUCCGAAUGGGGAAACCCACUUUAUAACAUAGAAAUGUUGAGAUAUUUGGUGUCUUAACAUUUCUAUGUUGUGAGGUAUUUAAUUCUGAAUACAUAGGAAUUAAAAGCGAACCCAGGGAACUGAAACAUCUAAGUACCUGGAGGAAAGGAAAUCAACCGAGACUCCGCUAGUAGUGGCGAGCGAACGCGGAUCAGGCCAGUAAUAUAUAGUUAAAAACCAGAAUCAGCUGGAAAGCUGAGCCAUAGUAGGUGAUAGCCCCGUAUGGGUAAAAAUUCUAUAUAUUCUUGAGUAGGGCGGGACACGUGAAAUCCUGUUCGAACGUGGGGGGACCACCCUCCAAGCCUAAGUACUCGUGUGCGACCGAUAGUGAACAAGUACCGUGAGGGAAAGGUGAAAAGUACCCCGACAAGGGGAGUGAAAUAGUAUCUGAAACCGAAUGCUUACAAACAGUCGGAGCCCAAGGUUCGUCCUGGGUGACGGCGUACCUUUUGUAUAAUGGGUCAACGACUUAAUUUAACGAGCAAGCUUAAGCCGAUAGGUGUAGGCGUAGCGAAAGCGAGUCUUAAUAGGGCAACAAGUUCGUUGGAUUAGACCCGAAACCGAGUGAUCUAGGUAUGGGCAGGCUGAAGGUGCGGUAACACGCACUGGAGGGCCGAACCCACGCACGUUGAAAAGUGCGGGGAUGACCUGUGCCUAGGGGUGAAAGGCCAAUCAAACUCGGAAAUAGCUGGUUCUCCGCGAAAUCUAUUUAGGUAGAGCGUUGAAUGAAUACCCUCGGGGGUAGAGCACUGGAUCGGCUAGGGGGCCCCAACGGCUUACCAAACCGAACCAAACUCCGAAUACCGAGGAGUACUAUUUAGCAGACACACGGCGGGUGCUAAGGUCCGUCGUGGAAAGGGAAACAGCCCAGACCGCCAGCUAAGGUCCCCAAAUUAUGGCUAAGUUGGAAAGAAUGUGAGAGUCCCAAAACAACCAGGAUGUUGGCUUAGAAGCAGCCAUCAUUUAAAGAAAGCGUAACAGCUCACUGGUCUAAAUAAGGGUUCUUGCGUCGAAAAUGUAACGGGGAUUAAGCCAUAUACCGAAGCUGCGGGUGCAUUUUUAAUGCGCGGUAGCGGAGCGUUCCGUAAGUUGCUGAAGGGUGACCCGUGAGGGCACCUGGAGAUAUCGGAAGUGCGAAUGUUGACAUGAGUAACGAUAAAGAGUGUGAGAAACACUCUCGCCGAAAGUCCAAGGGUUCCUGCUUAAAGCUAAUCUGAGCAGGGUUAGCCGGCCCCUAAGGCGAGGCCGAAAGGCGUAGUCGAUGGGAACUAGGUUAAUAUUCCUAGGCCAGUGGGUGGUGACGAAUAUUGUAAGUUGUUAAUCCUUAUUGGAUUGGGUUGGCAGCGAAAAUGUUCCAGGAAAUAGCCCCCACAUGAGACCGUACCCUAAACCGACACAGGUGGACAGGUAGAAGAUACUAAGGCGCUUGAGAGAAUUACGUUGAAGGAACUCGGCAAAUUGCUCCCGUAAGUUCGCGAGAAGGGAGCCCAGCCUUUGGGCAACCAUUGGUUGGGGGCACAGAAUAGGGGGUGGCGACUGUUUACUAAAAACACAGGACUCUGCGAAGCCGCAAGGCGAUGUAUAGGGUCUGACGCCUGCCCGGUGCCGGAAGGUUAAAAGGAGAGGUGAGAGCUUUGAAUUGAAGCCCCGGUAAACGGCGGCCGUAACAAUAACGGUCCUAAGGUAGCGAAAUUCCUUGUCGGGUAAGUUCCGACCUGC
Molecule: ribosomal RNA, 1869 nt
Filed under: metagenome
Description: bacterial LSU rRNA
Rfam family: Bacterial large subunit ribosomal RNA
Source: RNAcentral